AUCUAGCUGACGAGCCCCACGAGGGACGAAAUGCACGUCCUGGAU
Molecule: non-coding RNA, 45 nt
Filed under: Schistosoma margrebowiei
Lineage: Eukaryota; Metazoa; Platyhelminthes; Trematoda; Strigeidida; Schistosomatidae
Source: RNAcentral